GACGAACGCUGGCGGCGUGCUUAACACAUGCAAGUCGAACGGAAAGGCCCUGCUUUUGUGGGGUGCUCGAGUGGCGAACGGGUGAGUAACACGUGAGUAACCUGCCCUUGACUUUGGGAUAACUUCAGGAAACUGGGGCUAAUACCGGAUAGGAGCUCCUGCUGCAUGGUGGGGGUUGGAAAGUUUCGGCGGUUGGGGAUGGACUCGCGGCUUAUCAGCUUGUUGGUGGGGUAGUGGCUUACCAAGGCUUUGACGGGUAGCCGGCCUGAGAGGGUGACCGGCCACAUUGGGACUGAGAUACGGCCCAGACUCCUACGGGAGGCAGCAGUGGGGAAUAUUGCACAAUGGGCGGACGCCUGAUGCAGCAACGCCGCGUGCGGGAUGACGGCCUUCGGGCUGUAAACCGCUUUCGCCUGUGACGAAGCGUGAGUGACGGUAAUGGGUAAAGAAGCACCGGCUAACUACGUG
This 468-nucleotide ribosomal RNA is filed under the name uncultured bacterium. RNAcentral's name for it is "partial 16S ribosomal RNA". It matches the Rfam family "Bacterial small subunit ribosomal RNA", at positions 28 to 507 of the family's 1533-position model. The record is from RNAcentral.